RNAcentral lists this ribosomal RNA (449 nucleotides) under uncultured bacterium. Its description in RNAcentral is "bacterial SSU rRNA". It matches the Rfam family "Bacterial small subunit ribosomal RNA", at positions 329 to 792 of the family's 1533-position model. The record is from RNAcentral.
UUCCAGACUCCUACGGGAGGCAGCAGUGGGGAAUAUUGGACAAUGGGGGGAACCCUGGUCCAGCGACGCCGCGUGAGUGAAGAAGUAUCUCGGUAUGUAAAGCUCGAUCAGCAGGGAAGAAAGAAAUGACGGUACCUGACUAAGAAGCCCCGGCUAACUACGUGCCAGCAGCCGCGGUAAUACGUAGGGGGCAAGCGUUAUCCGGAUUUACUGGGUGUAAAGGGAGCGUAGACGGCUGAGCAAGUCUGAAGUGAAAGGCGGGGGCCCAACCCCCGGACUGCUUUGGAAACUGUAUAGCUAGAGUGCAGGAGAGGUAAGUGGAAUUCCUAGUGUAGCGGUGAAAUGCGUAGAUAUUAGGAGGAACACCAGUGGCGAAGGCGGCUUACUGGACUGUAACUGACGUUGAGGCUCGAAAGCGUGGGGAGCAAACAGGAUUAGAUACCCCAGUA